GGAAGAGAGAAAAAAGAGAGAGAGAGAGAGAGAGGAAGCAGCGGUUGUCCGCCGUCGUUCAUGGCGUGUCCAGCGGCACCAAGGGUGGCGAUCGACUUGCCGAAGAGUGGGCUUUCUAUUUAGAGCAGCAACGAUGCAAAUGGUGGCAGGAGUUGGAAGUUCGUAGUUGAGAGAGAAAAUGGGUGGCAGCCAGCAUUUUCUAGUUUUUCCUGCGAGCUUCGGUGAGCUUUGGCUAAUCGGAGGAAAUAUCCGAACUCUCCUCGGCUCAAGCUUUCCAAUGGCACCAGUUUCGUGGCGAUCAGACUCCGUUUGAAAAUCCACCGCCGAAAUUGUCCGUAAAUCUCUCCGGAUGAUCGAGGGUCGGAUCGAAAGAUCGGAAGCUGGGAUCGUCAUCAGCGCGUCAUCUCGAGUCUGUUGGUGCAUUCGGAUCGUCGAUCAGACUCCGACGGCUGGAGGCGAGUCAACCAAACGAUCAAGCGUCUCGAUAAUCCGUCAGUUCGGCUCGCUUCACCCGAGACAUCGGAGCAGAGCUAGGAGGUCGUCAAAUCUAUCAUGCUAUUUGAUGAGUGCACCGGUAUAAAUCUGAGACUGAUAGCAAAAGGGUAAAAGGGUAAAUUUAGGACUAGCCCUGAUCAAGCAUUGCUCUCUGGGCUUAGUAGAGUGUGUUUGCCGAAGUAAAGGUACCUGGUCGAGCAUUGCUCUAUGGACGCCGACUUAUUUAGAAACUUAAGUGACCGGACUGGAUUUAAGGACCCUGGUCGAGCUUUGCUCUCUCGGCGCCAGUCCUGUUAAAAUGAGAGAGUCGAGAUGUUAGUGUUGAGAUUAUGAUUCUGCUGAGGUACUCC
Molecule: long non-coding RNA, 845 nt
Organism: Ricinus communis (castor bean)
Lineage: Eukaryota; Viridiplantae; Streptophyta; Magnoliopsida; Malpighiales; Euphorbiaceae
Exons: 3
Source: RefSeq, a predicted model, not a curated record